CUGCUCUGAUGGCUCUAUUGGAUAGAUAGGUGAGAAACACAAAGGCCUGAAAAAAGGAAAAGAAAUUAUUUUCUUCAUACAGGCUGCCAUUCAAGCAGAUACUUUGAAGGACAACAAACAACAUUGGGAUUGAAGUGAUCAAGGAGAGCAGUGGUGUGGGGAAGGUGGCUCUGAAAGCAAGAAGUGACAGAGAAACCCCAUGAAACCCCAUGAAUCCAGCUGUGUCAGAGGACAAGAUCACCAUUCUCAAACAGUCUUCACUGUUCUAAAGGAGAGCAGUUUGUGAGAGCGCUGCCUAAUAGGCUUCUGACAGAGCCAGCUAGGUAAGUUUAAAAUUUAUAAAUGGAUAGUCUGAGCUAUGUCAGGCAAAUUUGCUUGAGGAACUGUAGGAGUGUUCCUGUAAAUGUUUUCAGUAGAA
Molecule: long non-coding RNA, 418 nt
Filed under: Zonotrichia albicollis (white-throated sparrow)
Lineage: Eukaryota; Metazoa; Chordata; Aves; Passeriformes; Passerellidae
Description: lncRNA (ENSZALG00000016045.1)
Source: RNAcentral